UACAGAGGGUGCGAGCGUUAAUCGGAAUUAUUGGGCGUAAAGGGCGCGUAGGCGGCUUGAUGUGUCAAAGGUGAAAUCCCUCGGCUCAACUGAGGAACUGCCUUUGAAACUGUCUGGCUUGAGGCCGGGAGAGGGUAGCGGAAUUCCCAGUGUAGCGGUGAAAUGCGUAGAUACUGGGAGGAACACCGGUGGCGAAGGCGGCUACCUGGACCGGUUCUGACGCUGAUGCGCGAAAGCGUGGGUAGCAAACAGG
Molecule: ribosomal RNA, 253 nt
Filed under: uncultured bacterium
Lineage: Bacteria
Description: partial 16S ribosomal RNA
Rfam family: Bacterial small subunit ribosomal RNA
Source: RNAcentral